AUGUCAGAAGUCUUUAGUUUGCAGCUUACACCGAAUUAUUAUGAUUAUCCGCAAAGAUUACGCAAAAGUCCAUUCACUUUGUGCAAAACUCAAAGCAAAAACGACGACGAUAUUUGCAUUAAAAGAAAUUCAUAUUUCAUUAACUUGGAUGCAGACUACACUUCAAAGAAAAUUUGGCAAAACUGUUUCAACCAGAGCAACGAUGCGAAGUAUAAAAACAAAGAAUAUCUCAUCAGCAAUGUUAUGGACCAAAAUUUGAAUUUGAGUUUUCAAACUCCGGAACCUAUAUUCCUAAAAAAUUCCCAAUCCUUUUCUUUGAUUCCUAACCCUCUAAACCCAAUCUCUCAAUUAGAUGAACUAGCCGCAGAAAAGAGCAAAGUCAACAGGAUAUCACAUGCAAAGUUUGAUAAAUCUGAAAUCAUACAUGAAAAUGUUCAUGAUUCAGGUACUUCCCGUAUGAUAUGUGCAGCAAACAAUAAUAGCUUGAUGAAAAUGAAACAACAAAACCUGAAUGCCAAAAGAAAUUAUUUUGAUCAAUAUGAAUUAAAUGCCAUUCUCUCAUUUACUGAUCUUAUAAAUUUAAGUGAUAGGCAUGGUUUAUUUAAUAAAAUUGAAAGUGAAAGUGGAACUCAGACCUUUUCUUCUACCAGCUCUGAAAAUUUCAUUACAACUUUUGAGAGAGAAGAAAAUAUUCGAGUGAAUCAAAGACAAAACAUAAGAAAACCUGAGAAAAGAAUUUCAAAUUCUUCUUUGCAAAACCACCAGAGCACACAUCUAUCUGAAAAAUCUGAGAGGGCACCGAUGAACACAGAAUAUACAAAAACAAAAUUGGAUGCAAAGUCAUGGCGAGAUUUGAUCACCAACCUUCUAUUUGAUAAUCAAAAGUUUGUACCUUCCCAUGAAGAAAAUGAGGCAUUGCUACGAUUGCAAAAGACCAACACCAUGUUGAGUGCGUCUGAUAAUGUUUCAGCGCCACUGACAAGUUUUUACUUUGAUUGUGCUAUGGAUGCUACAAAAAAAGAAAAUGUUAAAAAAAAUGCAGAUUUGAAAAAUGAUCAAUCAGAAUUAAAUAAUUAUGCAAACAAUGAAAACCUUCGAGUAAAUCAAAGAGCACCACCAGUGAAAAACCGUCUUCAAUCAAAAAAUAUACCAAAAAACUUUCAAAUUGAUCAGAAUUCAAUAAUCAAUUCAUUCAAACAGAGAAAACAGGAGAAAAAUAAACGACCAAAAACUCAGUUCAAAGCAAGAAAAGUACAGUUAGCAUAA
RNAcentral lists this long non-coding RNA (1266 nucleotides) under Bemisia tabaci. RNAcentral's name for it is "lncRNA ENSSSA1NGG013179". Lineage: Eukaryota; Metazoa; Arthropoda; Insecta; Hemiptera; Aleyrodidae. The record is from RNAcentral.